This 1332-nucleotide long non-coding RNA is filed under the name Homo sapiens (human). RNAcentral's name for it is "non-protein coding lnc-ADO-2:1". Lineage: Eukaryota; Metazoa; Chordata; Mammalia; Primates; Hominidae. The record is from RNAcentral.
AUAGUUGGCAAUGAAAUACAGUGGAUGGCUCAAUACUGAAACUUCACAGGAGUAUUACUAGAAAUAAUCAGCUGUUUACGAAGUGCUUCAGAGUUCAGGUGUCCUUGCCAAAUGAGCAUUGGUUCAGUUCUAGUUAGCUUCACAUUAUUUGGCUGCAGAAUAACCCCCGCCAACUGCCCCACGAAUGUGUGAUGUUUUAAAAGGAGACUAGAACUGGGUGACAGUUGCAGAUAGAACUGCAGAAUCACUACCAGUUCAGGAAAAAUUAGUUAAAUGGUGGCAAUACCAUUUAAAUUCUCCUCCAUAAAACGGAGCGAGUUUCGACAGAGUCUUUUUAAGCAGGCUAGCGUAACUCCGUAUUUCAGCCAUAAAAUUUAUGUAGGCAAGUAUCAGAAAUUUGGCAUCUUGAAUUCUUUUUUUUUUUUUUUUUUGAGAUGGAGUCUCUCUCUGUCACCAGACUAGAGUGCAGUGGCGCGAUCUCAGCUCACUGCAACCUCCGACUCCCUGGUUUAAGCGAUUCUUCUGCCUCAGCCUUCUGAGUAGCUGGGAUUUCAGGCACGCGCCGCCACGCCCAGCUAAUUUUUGUAUUUUUAGUAGAGACGGGGUUUCACCAUGUUGGCCAGGAUGGUCUCGAUCUCCUGACCUCGUGAUCCCCCCGCCUGGCCUCCCAAAGUGCUGGGAUUACAGGCGUGAGCCAGCGUGCCCGGCGGACACCUUGAAUUCUUAAACCAUUUGAGUCUUGAAAGAUCUAAUUUCCAGCAUAGUUGUUUAUUGGAAGGUAACAGUAGAACAGACGUUGACGGUUACUUGAAUGAGUACCAAUUACAGGCCUCUGGCACUCAGAAUUGUCACUCACAGUUUUAUAAGAUGAGGUUUUUGAAAAUUCAGACUUUUUUUUUUUUUUUUUUUCUUUUUUGAGACGGAGUCUCGCUUUGUCACCCAGGCUAGAGUGCAGUGGUGCGAUCUGGGCUCACUGCAGCCUCCACCUCCCGGGUUCAAGCAGUUCUCUGCCUCAGCCUCCUGAGUAGCUGGGAUUACAGGCAUGCACCACCCUGCCCGGCUAUGAAAAUUCUGACAUUCUUUUAUGUCAGUGAACACCUAACUUAGUAUCUAGUUGACUCAAGAUGAGAGUUCUCAAUGCUAUAAUUUGAAUGUCUUUGAAAAUUCCACUAGUAUUAUACAAGCUUUUUCUUUUUCUAUACUCAGAGAGUUACUAAUGCAAUAAGCUUUGUCAAAUGACGUCGUAGUGUAGUCCAAAUUCAUUGUAUAAGGACUUAUCACAGUACAUGGAUUUGUAAUCAUGUGUCCUCAGAGCAUCCUCGGAACUUAGUA